Molecule: long non-coding RNA, 259 nt
Filed under: Panax ginseng (ginseng)
Lineage: Eukaryota; Viridiplantae; Streptophyta; Magnoliopsida; Apiales; Araliaceae
Description: long non-coding RNA (PGIN_LNC015434)
Source: RNAcentral
AUGAAUAUCUUUGGCCUGUAGUGCAAAGAUGAAUAUUUGAUUCCAGAUAUAUAUUGAUUGAUGUUACAGGGAUAAAAGAUAGACGAUGAACUUUAAAUUCAUACAUAGAAGAUAGUAGUUUGCAUUCUCUACUUAACUCUUCUAAUGAAUUAUUAUUUCCGCGCGAAUAUUGAUUUAAAACUUGUUGUCUAUUGUAUUCUAUUAGAUUUUUCCCUGUUGAAGACUAACGAUAAUUUGUUGUAUAUUAUCUUAGUUAUAA